CCUACGGGAGGCAGCAGUGAGGAAUAUUGGUCAAUGGACGAGAGUCUGAACCAGCCAAGUAGCGUGAAGGAUGACUGCCCUAUGGGUUGUAAACUUCUUUUAUAUGGGAAUAAAACGUUCCACGUGUGGGAUUUUGUAUGUACCAUAUGAAUAAGGAUCGGCUAACUCCGUGCCAGCAGCCGCGGUAAUACGGAGGAUCCGAGCGUUAUCCGGAUUUAUUGGGUUUAAAGGGAGCGUAGGUGGAUUGUUAAGUCAGUUGUGAAAGUUUGCGGCUCAACCGUAAAAUUGCAGUUGAAACUGGCAGUCUUGAGUACAGUAGAGGUGGGCGGAAUUCGUGGUGUAGCGGUGAAAUGCUUAGAUAUCACGAAGAACUCCGAUUGCGAAGGCAGUUCACUGGACUGAAACUGACACUGAGGCUCGAAAGUGUGGGUAUCAAACAGGAUUAGAUACCCCAGUAGUC
RNAcentral lists this ribosomal RNA (460 nucleotides) under uncultured bacterium. RNAcentral describes it as "partial 16S ribosomal RNA". It matches the Rfam family "Bacterial small subunit ribosomal RNA", at positions 338 to 795 of the family's 1533-position model. The record is from RNAcentral.